Lathyrus oleraceus (garden pea) is the source of this 1681-nucleotide long non-coding RNA. RefSeq lists it as uncharacterized. The record is from RefSeq and is a predicted model, not a curated record. Lineage: Eukaryota; Viridiplantae; Streptophyta; Magnoliopsida; Fabales; Fabaceae. The transcript has 2 exons.
UGUAGGGUACAAGUAAAAUUUUCUGCCCCUACGGCUCACUACGAAUCAAGAAUCCUUCUGAAGAGGUUUCGUUUUAGAACGAAGAACGCCUUUCAUCUCAUACAUGUUAAACGCACCACCUUCAUCCUUAUCAGAAUCCUAACUCCAUCUCCGCACACGCAAACCGACAUGCGACCAAACAGAUGAUUCAAAGAAUCGACCCCAACCUCCAUCGGCGAAACAAGAACGUGAGUAUAUCAGACGAUUUAGAUACAAAAUGGGAAUAUUUGAAGGAAAGGGAACCGAGCGUUUUCGUCGUCGCAACGUUGAUGCUCGAUUGCGAUGUUUGACGAUCGUUGCGCUUCAAUCGCUGUGUAUUAUGGAAUUCGGCGUGAUGGAUAACUGAGUUAUCAUUCUGCGGAAUGAAUAGGAUCCCUUUUAAAUUUCCCCGGCGAAUCAAAGAUGGACGGAAAUAAAGCUCUCCUUCAUUGUAGGUGUUGUUUCUGGAAGGUAUCGAAGGUUUUUGGAAGUGAAGUUCGUUAGAAGGUGAAGAAAUUGGGGUGGUGAUUGGUGAGAUUGUGAAAGGUUGUCGAGAAAGUUGAAGAAGGAGAUUGAAUAGACUCUUUUUGCAGGGUUUUUUCUGUGAUUGUUAUAGGGUGAUGGUGAUGGUUUGAAGGGAGUUGGUUCUUGAGAAUUGGUUGUUGAGAGCUGUUAUAUAUCGAUUUCGGUUCUGUUAUCGAGUUUUUAUUGAAGGGAUUGUUGUUGAUUGAAGAGGAAGAGAAGAAUUCUGUUAGGCUUUUGGUUCCACUUUUUAAGUUCGGUUAUGUCAAUUAGGAUGGUUGAAGAGUCGGUUAGAAGUUGAAAUUAGAAUCUAUUAUGAAUUUGUUAGGGAAGAUGGUUAAUUCUAUUUCUAUUAUGUUUGCAGGUUGAAGAAAAUUGGAGAGGUUUUGUUAUCAGUUGGAACAAGGUGGUUGAAAAGUAAGUUAGAAAAGAAACUGUCAUGAGGUUCUGUUAAAGGAUGAGAUGGAAUUUCGGUUGGGAUCUUUGGUUAGUUCUUUUUGAAUUUGGAAGUUCACUUCCUGCAGGUUUUCUGUUUGGUCCUGCUGCCGGUCCUCACGAUCGCUUUUAAUAUCCUUCUCGACGGAAGCUCUUGGUGAGUUUUCUUUUAUUUGUGAAAUUUUGUUAGAUAGUUAGUUAUAUUGCAGUUGAGUUGGUGAAAAUUGUGGAAGGGUUCCGUUAUAUGGUGGUUAUGAAGAGUGCAGAAGGGGGUUAUUUGAAGGUUCAAAUGAAGGGUGAAUGAAGACUGGCCAAAUGUGAACCCUCCAGGUUGCAGUGAAUUCCCUCUUUGAAGUUACCUCCAAUUAUGUUAUACUCCUCCUUCUCACUUUGAGCAAUUCUUGGUGGUUUUUAUUAUGCUUCCGUCUUUUGAAGGUUUGGACAGUUUGUAGAUUAUGGACAUGGUUUGGAAUUGGAUCAAUGCAUUGGCUAUGAAGCUACUUGGAAUAUGAAAUGGAAUGCUUAUUGAUGGAAUUUGAACCAUGCUUUGUAGUUUUUUUUGAAAUGUUAUAAUGUCAUGUAGAAUAUUGGGACUUUGUAAUGUAACUUUGGAAUUGAAAUUGUGAAAAAAUGAAUUGGUUAAAUGUGAAAAUGUAUAAGUUGAAUUGGAAUAUAUUGAAAUGGUUCCAUGAAUUUAUGAAUGUAA